GACGGAGGGUGCAAACGUUGUUCGGAAUCACUGGGCGUAAAGGGCGCGUAGGCGGACCUGUAAGUCGGGAGUGAAAACUCGGGGCUCAACUCCGAGCCUGCUUCUGAAACUGCAGGUCUUGAGGAUCGGAGAGGAGAGCGGAAUUCCUGGUGUAGCGGUGGAAUGCGUAGAUAUCAGGAAGAACACCGGCGGCGAAGGCGGCUCUCUGGACGAUUCCUGACGCUGAGGCGCGAAAGCUGGGGGAGCAAACAGG
RNAcentral lists this ribosomal RNA (253 nucleotides) under uncultured bacterium. Its description in RNAcentral is "partial 16S ribosomal RNA". It matches the Rfam family "Bacterial small subunit ribosomal RNA", at positions 524 to 776 of the family's 1533-position model. The record is from RNAcentral.